AGCAGUCGCCACGGGAAUACGUAGGGUGCAAGCGUUAAUCGGAAUUACUGGGCGUAAAGCGUGCGCAGGCGGUCCGUUAAGACAGAUGUGAAAUCCCCGGGCUUAACCUGGGAACUGCAUUUGUGACUGGCGGGCUAGAGUAUGGCAGAGGGGGGUAGAAUUCUACGUGUAGCAGUGAAAUGCGUAGAGAUGUGGAGGAAUACCGAUGGCGAAGGCAGCCCCCUGGGCCAAUACUGACGCUCAUGCACGAAAGCGUGGGGAGCAAACAGGAUUAGAUACCCCAGUAGUCCUGUCUCUUAUACC
This 303-nucleotide ribosomal RNA is filed under the name uncultured bacterium. RNAcentral's name for it is "partial 16S ribosomal RNA". It matches the Rfam family "Bacterial small subunit ribosomal RNA", at positions 507 to 808 of the family's 1533-position model. The record is from RNAcentral.